AUUGAACGCUGGCGGCAGGCCUAACACAUGCAAGUCGAACGGUAACAGGAAGAAGCUUGCUUCUUUGCUGACGAGUGGCGGACGGGUGAGCAAUGUCUGGGAAACUGCCUGAUGGAGGGGGAUAACUACUGGAAACGGUAGCUAAUACCGCAUAACGUCGCAAGACCAAAAAGGGGGACCUUCGGGCCUCUUGCCAUCGGAUGUGCCCAGAUGGGAUUAGCUAGUAGGUGGGGUAACGGCUCACCUAGGCGACGAUCCCUAGCUGGUCUGAGAGGAUGACCAGCCACACUGGAACUGAGACACGGUCCAGACUCCUACGGGAGGCAGCAGUGGGGAAUAUUGCACAAUGGGCGCAAGCCUGAUGCAGCCAUGCCGCGUGUAUGAAGAAGGCCUUCGGGUUGUAAAGUACUUUCAGCGGGGAGGAAGGGAGUAAAGUUAAUACCUUGGCUCAUUGACGUUACCCGCAGAAGAAGCACCGGCUAACUCCGUG
RNAcentral lists this ribosomal RNA (490 nucleotides) under uncultured bacterium. RNAcentral describes it as "partial 16S ribosomal RNA". It matches the Rfam family "Bacterial small subunit ribosomal RNA", at positions 30 to 507 of the family's 1533-position model. The record is from RNAcentral.